Equus quagga is the source of this 778-nucleotide long non-coding RNA. RefSeq lists it as uncharacterized. The transcript has 4 exons. The record is from RefSeq and is a predicted model, not a curated record. NCBI's taxonomy places the organism in Eukaryota, Metazoa, Chordata, Mammalia, Perissodactyla, Equidae.
GGCUGGUGCGCGCCGGGCACCUGAGCCGGAAACCUCCCCGCGGCCGCGGCCCGGGCCCCGCCGCCGCCGCCGCCGCCCGCGGUCCCAUUGGCCCCUCCGCUGCUGCUGGAAGGCCACAGAACUCCAUGAGUCAGCGCCACCCUCUGGAAACCUCCCAUGGGACCCAGCAACAAAGGUGCCACCAAUCCCUGGAAGGCUGCAUCAGUGUGCUGCCCUAAGAGCCGCUGAUGGGUGGCCAUGGCGAAGCUCUUCGCCCUAAUGUGCACUUUCUCUCGCUCGUCCCACCGAGACACUUUGCGUGCUGAGCGCAGCUGCCUGUACGGAGUGUUUACCUCAUCUGGCACAGUUCUCUCCACCCUAGAAGAAACAGCCCUGCCCUACACACCAGGGUGGAAAGAAGAUUUCUGCUCAAAGCUCGCAACCUUUCUCUGAGGUGGUGGCAUACGGAGACCGAAAAAUGAACGUGCUGUUUCUUCUUUUAAAUGGCGCUGAUGAGAAGUCAGUCUCAGACAGACUUUUGACACAUGGAGGAUCAAGCUUUUCCUGUUCCUCUCUGCUGCCCUGAAACCGUUCAUUGGUUUAACCAAUAUCAACGAGCCACCACUAUGAGUGUCGCAGAUGGAGAUGCAGCCCCGUCGACAUAACUGUGCGGCCCGUGGAGAGGAUCUUGCUGUCUAUCUAGUGACAUGUUAUGUCUAACCCCUGGGGUCUCGGAGGGGACCAAGAAAUAGCACCCGUCUAUCUUGACCAAAUUCCAAACUUAUUGAGAAAUAAAGAG